Molecule: ribosomal RNA, 698 nt
Filed under: Escherichia coli
Lineage: Bacteria; Pseudomonadati; Pseudomonadota; Gammaproteobacteria; Enterobacterales; Enterobacteriaceae
Description: bacterial LSU rRNA
Rfam family: Bacterial large subunit ribosomal RNA
Source: RNAcentral
CAUAGGUUAAUGAGGCGAACCGGGGGAACUGAAACAUCUAAGUACCCCGAGGAAAAGAAAUCAACCGAGAUUCCCCCAGUAGCGGCGAGCGAACGGGGAGGAGCCCAGAGCCUGAAUCAGUGUGUGUGUUAGUGGAAGCGUCUGGAAAGGCGCGCGAUACAGGGUGACAGCCCCGUACACAAAAAUGCACAUAUUGUGAGCUCGAUGAGUAGGGCGGGACACGUGGUAUCCUGUCUGAAUAUGGGGGGACCAUCCUCCAAGGCUAAAUACUCCUGACUGACCGAUAGUGAACCAGUACCGUGAGGGAAAGGCGAAAAGAACCCCGGCGAGGGGAGUGAAAAAGAACCUGAAACCGUGUACGUACAAGCAGUGGGAGCCUCUUUAUGGGGUGACUGCGUACCUUUUGUAUAAUGGGUCAGCGACUUAUAUUCUGUAGCAAGGUUAACCGAAUAGGGGAGCCGAAGGGAAACCGAGUCUUAACUGGGCGUUAAGUUGCAGGGUAUAGACCCGAAACCCGGUGAUCUAGCCAUGGGCAGGUUGAAGGUUGGGUAACACUAACUGGAGGACCGAACCGACUAAUGUUGAAAAAUUAGCGGAUGACUUGUGGCUGGGGGUGAAAGGCCAAUCAAACCGGGAGAUAGCUGGUUCUCCCCGAAAGCUAUUUAGGUAGCGCCUCGUGAAUUCAUCUCCGGGGGUAG